This is a long non-coding RNA of Poecilia reticulata (guppy), 636 nucleotides long. RefSeq lists it as uncharacterized. Lineage: Eukaryota; Metazoa; Chordata; Actinopteri; Cyprinodontiformes; Poeciliidae. The record is from RefSeq and is a predicted model, not a curated record.
UACAUCUGUAGUAAAGCUGCACACAGAGAACCCCUUGCUGUGCUCGGGGGCAGACUCACCGUCGGCCUUUUCCCAAAGCAGAGGUGAUGUGUCCUGGUCCACUAAUGUCAACAUCGCAGGAACCAUCGGAGGACUGUCAAACACACUAACACACAACCUUUUCCAGCUAACCCUAACACAACACAACAGUACAGCGGCGUCCAGGAAAGGAACCGGAGCACAUUUGGGACAGUGCAGAGGGCAUGCACCAAAAGGCAUUGUCGGCACUCAAGAGCGAGUGUGUGCCGUCUGAUCGCAAGGAGCAGCUGUCUUGUUCGUCUGCUGGAUGGUUCUCCGUGACUCACACCACGUGAAGAAGAAGAGAGUCGAAGACAGAGGUUAUGUAGAAGCUGACGAGCAAAAAGAGACGGCGGCUGUGUGUUGUUUUGACUGAAGGAGGGGAAGGCUGACAAUGAGUUUGCCCACUUUUACGCGGCUGAAUGUGGGAUGAGAGACGGCGAGAUUUCUCUCUGUGUUAUUUAUUCGUACAGAUAAGUCUUAUUUUUAUACAUGUGUGCACGUAUUGAGAAAUCAGACUAAACUUCAAAGGCACUUUGUUUCAUUUUGUGAAGAUGUACGAAUUUCAGUGAAGCAUAA